This 43-nucleotide non-coding RNA is filed under the name Schistosoma curassoni. The record is from RNAcentral. Lineage: Eukaryota; Metazoa; Platyhelminthes; Trematoda; Strigeidida; Schistosomatidae.
ACUGCUGAUGAGUCUCAAAUAGGACGAAACGCUCUUCCUGAAU